GGAGUGGGUGACCAGUGACAGAGGGAGGGAGUGACUAGUGACAGAGUGAGGGAGGGGGUGACUAGUGACAGAGUGAGGGAGGGGGUGACUGUCACUAGUCACCACCUCCCUCCCUCUGUCCCUAGUCACCCCUCCCUCUGUCACUAGUCACCCCCUUCCCUCCCUAACUCUGUCACUAGUCACCCCCUCCCUCACUCUGUCACUAGAGUGAGGGGGUGACUAGUGGCAGAGUGAGGGAAGGAAGGGGUGACUAGUGACAGAGUGAGGGAGGUGGUGACUGUCACUAGUCACUACCUCCCUCACUCUGUCACUAGUCACCACCUCCCUCAC
Molecule: non-coding RNA, 330 nt
Organism: Pelobates cultripes (western spadefoot toad)
Lineage: Eukaryota; Metazoa; Chordata; Amphibia; Anura; Pelobatidae
Source: the annotation of a GenBank genome assembly